GAAUAAUUCACAAUGGGGGCAACCCUGAUGGUGCAACGCCGCGUGGAGGAUGAAGGUCUUCGGAUUGUAAACUCCUGUCAUCCGGGAGCAAGACCUGGCGGUCAAUAGCCGACAGGGUUGAUAGUACCGGAAGAGGAAGGGACGGCAAAGUCUGUGCCAGCAGCCGCGGUAAGAAGAAGGUCCCGAGCGUUGUCCGGAAUCACUGGGCGUAAAGGGAGCGUAGGCGGCGCGGCAAGUCAGACGUGAAAUCCCGGGGCUCAACCCCGGAACUGCGUCCGAUACUGCCGUGCUAGAGGAUUGGAGAGGUAGCUGGAAUUCACGGUGUAGCAGUGAAAUGCGUGGAUAUCGUGAGGAACACUCGUGGCGAAAGCGAGCUACUGGACAACUCCUGACGCUGAGGCUCGAAGGCCGGGGGAGCGAAAGGG
Molecule: ribosomal RNA, 425 nt
Filed under: uncultured bacterium
Lineage: Bacteria
Description: bacterial SSU rRNA
Rfam family: Bacterial small subunit ribosomal RNA
Source: RNAcentral